This 314-nucleotide long non-coding RNA is filed under the name Rattus norvegicus (Norway rat). RNAcentral describes it as "long non-coding RNA NONRATT029213". Lineage: Eukaryota; Metazoa; Chordata; Mammalia; Rodentia; Muridae. The record is from RNAcentral.
GGUCCAAAUCAAGGAGGAGACUCGCUUGGUGUCCAUCAUCGACCAGAUUGACAAGGCUGUGGCCAUCGUCCCUCGAGGUGCCCUCUUCAAGACCCCUUUUGGAGUCACCCACGUCAAUCGGACCUUUGAAGGCCUGCCCUUGUCUGAGAUCAAGAAGCUUAGCUCGUACUUCCACUUCAGGGAGGCCAUUGACCUGAAGAACAAGACCUUGCUUGAGAAGAACAUGGACCUGCCCUUCAUGCUGUAGGAGGGGCAGGCUGGAUAUUUAUGAGAAGUCGAAACACUGUUUCAUAAAGUUCAACCAUUGGGUCUGC